AACAACUAAGGGCAAACUCACCGAAAGGUGAGGGCGCAAAGCCUCGGGCCUAAGGGCGAGGAGUCUAUGGCGGCCGGGUUGCCUUA
This 86-nucleotide non-coding RNA is filed under the name Syntrophothermus lipocalidus. RNAcentral's name for it is "c-di-GMP sequence". It matches the Rfam family "c-di-GMP-I riboswitch aptamer". From Rfam's summary of the family: GEMM was predicted in a large-scale screen for bacterial structured RNA regulatory elements. Genes associated with GEMM are involved in a diverse array of functions, including chemotaxis regulation, signal transduction, secretion and chitin. Lineage: Bacteria; Bacillati; Bacillota; Clostridia; Eubacteriales; Syntrophomonadaceae. The record is from RNAcentral. RNAcentral also lists the same sequence under 1 other name.